Molecule: RNA transcript, 3100 nt
Organism: Mangifera indica (mango)
Lineage: Eukaryota; Viridiplantae; Streptophyta; Magnoliopsida; Sapindales; Anacardiaceae
Gene name: casein kinase 1-like protein HD16
Exons: 17
Source: RefSeq, a predicted model, not a curated record
CCAAAAAACAAAGCAGGAACGUUUCUCAGGCCUCUCUCUCUCUCUAAAACUCUCUCUCUCUUCGAUUAUCGAAACCCUAACCCUAGCACCGAUCCUCAAAUCUAACACAAUUCUCACUUGGGAAACGCCGAUUCAGCUGCCGUUUCGCUUGAUUAUCGGAGAGGAUAGCCAUCCAUCCGAGAGGUGUUUCUUUUUUGAAGCCAUGAACAAGAUUUUGAUAGAGCUUAUAUUAUGAUGAUAAGACGUCUAGGGUCGUGUUUUAAUUGCAUGGGGAUUGACUUUGAGAAAUGCCUGAGCUUCGUAAAGGGGUACGCCGAGGCCGAGCUGGUACUUUAGCUGCUACUGCUCCUCCUGCUGGUGCUCCUGCGACCAACCCCACCGUCGGACGGAACCGCGUGAAGACACGCGCUGCGAUCGCGAGGGAGGAGGCGGCGGCUCAGAGGGAGAGGCCGAGGACGAGGUUAGCUGCGAAGAAAUUGGAGCAGCAGGAACAUCAUCAUCAAGAAGAGAAGGACAAUCACCAACAACAACAGGUGAUUGUGAUAUCGGAGAAGGAUAAUAGUCAAUUGGAAAGAAAGGUAGAAAAGGGAAAACAAGGAAUAAAUAAUAACAACAACAAAAAGAUGGGCGAUGAUAGUGGUGGGUUGAGUGCUAAUAAGGCUGUUGGCCAAGAAGAGGAGGGCAGCACGGCGCCAUUUCCCGAGAGGGUUCAAGUAGGAGGCUCACCUGUAUAUAAGAUCGAGCGGAAGUUAGGUAAAGGUGGAUUUGGUCAGGUAUUUGUUGGUCGUCGUGUUCAUGGUGGAACUGAUCGCACAUCAGGUCCUGGGGCCAUGGAGGUAGCACUGAAAUUUGAGCACAGAAACAGCAAAGGCUGUAACUAUGGCCCACCAUAUGAAUGGCAAGUUUACAAUACUCUUGGAGGUAGUCAUGGAGUGCCGAAAGUACACUACAAAGGAAAGCAAGGAGACUAUUAUGUAAUGGUUAUGGACAUGUUAGGGCCUAGCCUAUGGGAUGUAUGGAAUAAUUCGGGGCAGGCGAUGAGCUCUGAGAUGGUGGCUUGUAUUGCAGUUGAAGCUUUGUCAAUCCUAGAGAAAAUGCACUCCCGCGGUUACGUACAUGGAGAUGUAAAGCCAGAGAACUUUUUACUUGGUCAGCCUAAUACAGCUCAAGAGAAAAAGUUAUUUCUUGUUGACCUUGGAUUAGCAACAAAAUGGAGAGACAGUGGUACUGGGCAUCAUGUUGAAUAUGAUCAGCGUCCUGACAUGUUUAGAGGUACUGUUCGAUAUGCUAGUGUUCAUGCCCACUUGGGAAGAACUGCCAGUAGAAGAGAUGAUCUUGAAUCCCUUGCAUAUACUCUCAUCUUCUUACAUAAAGGCAGGCUACCCUGGCAAGGCUAUCAGGGUGAUAAUAAAUCAUUCCUAGUUUGCAAAAAGAAGAUGGCAACAUCCCCAGAAAUGCUCUGCUGCUUCUGCCCCCCACCUCUCAAACAAUUUCUUGAGAUUGUGGUAAACAUGAAAUUCGAUGAGGAGCCCAUCUAUUCCAAACUAAUAUCAUUAUUUGAGGGUUUGCUUGGACCAAAUCCAGCUGUACGGCCAAUAAAUACUGAGGGUGCUCAGAAGAUUAUCUAUCAAGUUGGCCAAAAACGGGGAAGAUUGAAUGUUGAGGAAGAAGACGAUGGACAACCCAGGAAGAAGGUUCGACUAGGAGUUCCUGCUACACAGUGGAUUUCUGUUUACAAUGCUAGGCUUCCAAUGAAGCAGAGGUACCAUUAUAAUGUUGCUGAUGCAAGGUUGGCACAACAUAUUGAGAGAGGAAUGGCUGAUGGCCUGCUUAUUAGUUGUGUGGCAUCUUGUUCUAAUCUUUGGGCGUUAAUUAUGGAUGCUGGAACUGGUUUUACUAGCCAAGUUUAUGAGCUGUCACCUUUCUUCUUACACAAGGAAUGGAUCAUGGAACAGUGGGAAAAGAACUUCUAUAUCAGUUCUAUUGCUGGUGCUAACAACGGAAGUUCUCUUGUAGUAAUGUCCAAAGGCACACAGUAUACUCAACAGUCUUAUAAAGUGAGUGACUCCUUCCCCUUCAAGUGGAUAAAUAAGAAGUGGCGAGAAGGGUUUCAUGUUACCUCAAUGGCAACUGCUGGAACCCGAUGGGGUGUUGUUAUGUCUCGUAAUGCUGGCUUUAGUGAACAGGUUGUGGAGCUAGAUUUUCUCUAUCCAAGUGAGGGUAUACACAGACGAUGGGAUAGUGGUUAUCGAAUUACAUCAACUGCUGCAACUUGCGAUCAAGCAGCUCUUAUCUUAAGUGUUCCCAGGCGCAAACCUGGUGAUGAAACUCAAGAAACUUUACGUACUUCUCAAUUCCCAAGUACACAUGUUAAGGAAAAAUGGGCGAAGAAUCUGUAUCUUGCCUGUCUUUGCUACGGGCGGACUGUGUCUUAAAAUCACCUAUUGAAAGUGGUUGGAGGGGAAAUUUAUGUUUAGAAAGAUUAGAAAAAGUGGCAGAUGGUGGUGAUCCCUUAUUCCCCUCCAAUCUUGCUCAAGCUGAAAAAAAUAUAAUGCCCAGAAUUCAAAAUAAAACGUGAAGGUAAUUCUUCUUGUGCAUAAUUUUUAUGGAUUUUGGCUUCGAAAGUUAUUUUUGUCCAAUAAUAAUAAAUGGGUGUAUAUAAAGUCUGAUUGGCAAACUAUAGCCAAUUAAACUCAAGUCAAUUGGGGUUUGAAAACGAGAGUUGCAAUCCAGAAAUUUUUGGCCUCCUGGAGAGGGUUUAAGGUUUAUUCAUUGGGGUUGUUUUGUUAUUUGCUCAUAAGGUACAAAUACAUUUGAUUUGAUCAGAAAGGGUUGCAUUUGUGUCACUACAGGAAUGCUCGGUUUAAAUCUUUGAUCCUUGGUUGUUCCAAAUGGAACAUGAUCGAUCCUUUGGUCAUUCAAUGUUUUAUUUAAAACCCUGGACAUGGAACACCUAUUUCAUUGCAAGAAGAAGUUUGUGUUUGUGUGGAUCUUGAGAGAAUGCACGUUUAUUUUACUUGGAAUGUUUGUUUUCAGUCCAUGUAUCAGGUGUCAAACCUGAAAUAUUAUUUCAGUAUUAUUUAUUUUUGUUCAAAUUAAA